Molecule: ribosomal RNA, 253 nt
Filed under: uncultured bacterium
Lineage: Bacteria
Description: partial 16S ribosomal RNA
Rfam family: Bacterial small subunit ribosomal RNA
Source: RNAcentral
UACGUAGGUGACAAGCGUUGUCCGGAUUUACUGGGCGUAAAGGGCGCGCAGGCGGCGCAUUUUGUCAGGCGUGAAAGCCCCGGGCUUAACCUGGGAACUGCGUUUGAUACGGAUGGGCUAGAGUUCGGGAGAGGAGAGUGGAAUUCCCAGUGUAGAGGUGAAAUUCGUAGAUAUUGGGAAGAACACCGGUGGCGAAGGCGACUUACUGGACACAUAUUGACGCUGAGGUGCGAAAGCGUGGGGAGCAAACAGG